This 1012-nucleotide long non-coding RNA is filed under the name Triticum aestivum (bread wheat). RNAcentral's name for it is "long non-coding RNA (TAES_LNC014102)". Lineage: Eukaryota; Viridiplantae; Streptophyta; Magnoliopsida; Poales; Poaceae. The record is from RNAcentral.
GGCGACUUGUCGAUUUAUUGCUCUUCCCUUACAAGGUAUGAUAUUCUUCUUCCCUUCGUAUGUGUCCUCUUGCAAACAUGCAGUUCUUGAUUUGGUUGACGAAAGUAGUCUAGGAUUUGACUAAUUCUCUUCGAAAAUGGAUUAUAUUAGUUUGAUUAGGUAAAUAUCUUCCCUGACAAGAUCAGAUCAAUUUCCCCACCCUGUGAUAUUUGUUUGAUUUCUUGAAUUUAGCCAAGCGCCUUUGCCAUGUGCCCCUAAUUCCCCAUCAUUCUUUUUGUCACAGCUUGUCAGAAGUUGAAAUUCCUUUCGGCAUAGAUCCCAACACCUUGGUAAUACUUGAAUUUGUCCUUGCAUCUUCAAUAAAUCAAGCACUGGAUUCACUAAAUCUAUUCAAGAGUUAAAAUACUUUGUUUUUAUAUUUUUCAGUGAGAUUUCUUAGCCGCUCGAUCGCCUGAUUUUAUGUACUUUUUUUCAAUAAUAUGAAACAAUCUUUUUUAUAACUUAUUAUAACCGUGAUUGGGAGUAUCUGCCCCUGCGUAUGUACUCUUAGUGAUCCUGUAGUAUUUUGCGUAUGUCUUUUGCUGCAGUAUUUCCUAAUGGUAACAUGUAUGGUUCCAAAUUCCUAAUUUCAUAUGUAAUAGUUUUCCACACAAUUCUGUAACGCAAUCAAGUUUCUGGUUGCAGCAUCUUGGAACAUUAAUUUUAGGGAACAAAAUCCUCCAUGUUUUGUCUUUAACUAAUGGAUAAUAACAAUGAAAAUGCUCCGUUAGACGACCCAUCAUUUGAUAGAUAGCACCUGCAUAAAAAGGCGUCCAGGUGUUAUCUAGAAUCCUAGAUAGAAACUGCAUAAAAAGGCGUUCAGGUGUUAUCUAUUGUUUGUAAUGGAGUGCAUGAUAAAGUUGUUCUAUAUUUUUAAACAACUUCCUUUUAUUUUGUGUAUCAGCUGAGUUAGUCUACGUCGUUGAAUUGCAUUUUUAUCUAAAUAUACAUUGCAAGUAAAGUAAAGUUCAAU